GAGCUGUGGAAGCCAUACAGACUAAGGAAGAAAGGCAGAGCACCUCUCGACUUGCGCUUGCCUGUCGGUCGGUCUGAGUUCCUUCUCUAUCUUUUCACGGGCGGUGCGUCACUGAGUGCGACACGCUUCAUGGACGUUGGUCGUCACCAUCGUUGUCAGGCGUACUCCUUGUGUGCUUAGCCUUUGUUAUUCUAAUUAAGGUCAACCGGCGUGUGAGCGUGGGGCCUGCCGUAUUGGGUGCGCCUACAUCUGCUACCGGCUUGCUUUCGUGCGAGCCAAGAUCACAGCUGUAAAGGCUAUUGUGUGUAUGCGUGUCUGUGUGCGUCGGCAUAUCGUCAGAAACGCCGCCCACCCCUGCUAUAAUGUUCGGCCGUCGUGUCUUUGCGAGCGCACCGCUCCCACGCCAUAUGUGGGCGAAGCUGCACAUCCAAAACGCGGCCCAGGCGCAGCGCAUGCUGCCCUCUCUCGCCCCUCUUGCCGCGGUGGAGGGAAAGCACAGCAGCUUCUGCUCCGGGCUCGCCUUCAACACGCUCUGCCGCAGCAGCGCCACGCUGGGUGGAGAGGAGGGUAUGGUGAGCGAGGAUGGAAAACUUGUCUCGGCUGAGGUUGCGGCAGCGUGCGCAGAGUGGUGCGCUCAGGCCCUUCGCUCAGCGAUGUUGCCACUGCAGCACUUAGCGUUCAGCUCUCCCCACUCAACGUGCCUAACCUGGCAGACAAAAAUGUGGCACUGAUGUGUGCACUCACGCACAGAGAAGCCAAAGAGCGCAUGGCCCAGAAUAGGUCCUCCUCGAUGAUAAACAAAAAAACGCAUGCACGCACGUGUAUGUGUGCGUGUACGUGAGGAAGAAAGAGAGAGAGCGAGAGCACGUCGGUGCUAGCAUGUACGUGUGCGUCUGUGUGUGUGUGUGGCGCAUAUCCUGUACCUGUUUUACCUCUCUUCGGCUUGCCUUUUACUUCGACAAUGGGAAGAGGGAAAGAAAGAGAAGGAAAGGGGCUGUCAUUGCCGUCCUUUCGUCGCCCGCCCGUUCGCACCCCCCCCUUCUUUCCAGUAUUCACAAAAUGGGUGAUUUUUUGUUGUUGGUGGUUUCCUUUUAUGGCCUUCGUUAUCUUUCCUCUUCUCUAUACAUAUACACGCACACACAGCUUAACAUCACUGUCGUCACCGCACCGGCGGCACGCGCGAGAGCUGCGGAGGUUUGGGAUGGAGGAUCAUCGCUGAAGGGGCGAACCAAAAAGAGGGCGAGAAUAGGGAAAGAGUGAGAAAGACGCCGCGGAGACGGUCCGCGGGAAGAUGGCGGCGACGAGGGCCGCACGGCGUACCGCCGGCCUCCUGCCACCAUGCAUUACUCUGCCGCACCGUUUUGUCUGUUGAAACACUUUGGCGCCCCACCCUUCCUUCCCCUUUUCCGCAGCAACACAUCAACCUUUCUCACGCACCGCGAACCCACCGACCCCUGUGUCACGCAACUCGCCGUCGUUGUACCUUUGUGUGGCUCG
RNAcentral lists this unclassified non-coding RNA (1497 nucleotides) under Leishmania donovani. RNAcentral describes it as "gene:LdHU3.19.1580(CDS-product:hypothetical_prote in_conserved)". The record is from RNAcentral. Lineage: Eukaryota; Euglenozoa; Kinetoplastea; Trypanosomatida; Trypanosomatidae.